CAAGAGCUCAAAUUUGAAAUCUGGCUCCUCCGGGGUCCGAGUUGUAAUUUGCAGAGGAUGCUUCGGGUGCGGUCCCCGUCUAAGUACCCUGGAAUGGGUCGUCAUAGAGGGUGAGAAUCCCGUCUGGGACGGGUGGCCGUGUCCGUGUGAAGCUCCUUCGACGAGUCGAGUUGUUUGGGAAUGCAGCUCUAAAUGGGUGGUAAAUUUCAUCUAAAGCUAAAUAUUGGCCGGAGACCGAUAGCGCACAAGUAGAGUGAUCGAAAGAUGAAAAGCACUUUGAAAAGAGAGUUAAACAGCACGUGAAAUUGUUGAAAGGGAAGCGCUUGCGACCAGACUCGCCCGCGGGGGUUCAGCCGGUACUCGUACCGGUGUACUCCCCCGUGGGCGGGCCAGCGUCGGUUUGGGCGGCCGGUCAAAGGCCUCCGGAAUGUAUCGCCCUUCGGGGCGUCUUAUAGCCGGGGGUGCAAUGCGGCCAGCCUGGACCGAGGAACGCGCUUCGGCUCGGACGCUGGCGUAAUGGUCGUAAGCGGCCCGUCUU
This 538-nucleotide ribosomal RNA is filed under the name Paecilomyces maximus. RNAcentral describes it as "partial large subunit ribosomal RNA". It matches the Rfam family "Eukaryotic large subunit ribosomal RNA", at positions 102 to 655 of the family's 3401-position model. The record is from RNAcentral. Lineage: Eukaryota; Fungi; Ascomycota; Eurotiomycetes; Eurotiales; Thermoascaceae.